Equus caballus (horse) is the source of this 2591-nucleotide long non-coding RNA. The record is from Ensembl. Lineage: Eukaryota; Metazoa; Chordata; Mammalia; Perissodactyla; Equidae.
GGCAGCUGCUGCGGCAGCCGCUGGACGCAGACAGUGCUAGGGCAUCCUACAGGUGAGGACACUGAGGCACAGCAAGGGCGCAUCACCAAGAGCUGGGACAGACCGGAACCCAGGCAUCACUGCAAACGGCCCCUGCGGUCCCUGAUUGGGUCCUCCUCCUUUGGUGCCUGAGUGCCUCUGCCCUGUGUGCUGAUACCCUGGGACCCGGUGUGGACGGGAAGCACAGAGCGGCCGCCCACCUUCCAGAUGAGGCCGAGCCGCCCAGAGAGCCCCACGGAGGAAAGGGCUCCUUAAAGCUCUCCUCUCUGGAAACACCACAGAGUUCGGACAUCUCCUCCCCUGCUUGCUUUCUGUAUCUUUCAGUAGAACUCCUGUUUGAUUAUGGACGUCUGGGAGACGGGCUCUGAGAAACCACAGACACUCCUACCCCACAGAGAUGGGAAACCGUGCAGGUGUGAGUAAUACCACCUUCUAAAGAGCUGGAGUCUUGAGAGUUGUUUUUCUCCCCCCAUAACAUCUUGAAGCUGUGGCUGCCUCCACUGCUGCUGUUGCUGAGGCCAUCCCAGCUCAGGCCACUGCCUGGGGCAUUCAGGGCCCGGAACUGCCCCACGUAUGCUUGGGUGCACCAGGGAGCCAGGUCAACUUCUUGGUGUGCAUGCUGAGCACUGAGUGCUUGCUGUGCCUGUGGACCUGAGCUCAUGUGUUUGUGGGCUUUCCCUGCUCACAUGCAUGCUCCGUUGUUUCGUUGGACUUCACUUACAAGACCUAAGUUCAAAGAUACAACCAUUAAAAAUUUGAAGAUGGUAUCAACAGAGCAUUAAACCAAGCAUGGGGUCCCUUCUGCAAGUGGAGUCUUGUGCAACUACACUGGUUACAUGCUCACGAAGCUAGCCUUGCUGGGAGAACUUGCUGAUAAACCGUGUUACUGGAUGUCCUGCAUGCUACUGGCGGCUGCACUGUCAUUGGGGCACACAGGGAGGAGCAUGCAGAACAAAGAAGAGAAGCACCUUCCUCUUUCCAGUUUCCUCCAGUGCCCUCUACUAACAAAGCUUGAUAUCACGCCACUUGGAAAGAGAAAACAGUGAUACGGUUCAGCUCCGGUAUCCCAAUGCAGGAUAAAGAAUAGGUUUAGAGGGAGAAAGUGCUGACCCAAGUCACUUUGGAGAUGAGUGGAGUCUGUAAGACUAAAGGCAAAUGGAACUGCACAGAAGCAUUGCACCCUGGUUGAUAGUUUUGUCCAUGAGGGUACAGGUUAACAGUUCUGAAACCUAUACACGGACACUUGGAUGGAACAGUUAAGUAAAUGGUGGGGGCCAGGUUUCACACUGUUGGAGCGGGAGGUUACAGAUAAAGAAGAGGAGGAGGCUAGAAUGUUCCAUGUGGUAAUAGAUUAAAGUUGUAGAAAUCACAGUGAACCCAUGUUUGACUUAAUAUAGACACAUAUGGUUACAUAUAGCAGUAUUUAUAGAUAUGAAUAUAGACACUGGUUAGUACACACACAUACCUCCUCAAUCUGUCAGCUGAGAGGGAGGGCCCAGAAGCAAUGACACUCUAAUUGCAACAAGUUACAUCUAGCACCCAGAUAUUCGUUUCUAAUAAAAAGGACCGGGGCUCCUUGGAGAUAUGGCUGUUUCUAGGACUGAGGCAGGAAAUACACAAGAUGAGCCUGGAGUAUCUACAGUACCUGAAAGGAGGAAAGUGCUCAAAAGAGAAAAGAAAAGAAAAGAAAAGAAAAGAAAAGAAAAGAAAAGAAAAAAGACAAAGACAAACACUCCACAACGACGUGGGUAUGCCAAAGUGAUCCAGAUGCCAACUAAACCAGUUCCAAACGGCCAUAGCUGGAAUGAUUUGCGCAACAAAAUAAAUAAUGUAGUAUUAGAUUAUUUCCUAAAGUAUAAAAUAAAUAUCUAUGAGUCCAUUCUGAUAUAAAUAAAUGAUUGGAUACAUACAUAAGUGCGAGAGAAUAGACAAAUCUCUCCUGUCAAAGAAUUCUGAAUAAAUUAUGUAGAUAUUCCUCCGCCCCCAAGGCGGUAGAACACGGAAAAAGAGUGAAAAAAAGAGUAACUGACGAAAGGAGAACCUGACAAAAACCAUCUCAAGCCAGGUGAUCAGAGUCAGCCUCACAGUGAUAAAUCACACUAACAGCAUGCACCCUUUAAAUGAUGUGAUGAGAAGGGCCCAUGGCUCUGUGGUCUGCCUCCCCAAAGCACAUCAGCCCAUGAGAAAAACUUCAGACAAAUCCCACCUGAGGGACAUUCUCCACAAUAACUGACCUCAAAACUGUCAAAGUCAGCAAAAACGAGGAAAGCCUAAGAAACUGUCACAACCAAGAGGAGCCUAAAGAGACAGAAUUACUACGUGUAAUGUGGAGUCCUGGAUGGGAUGCUGAGGUAGAAGGGACAUUAGGGAAAAACUGAGGAAAUCUGAAUAAAGAAUGGACUUCAGUUAAUAAUAAUGUAUCAGUAUUGGUUCAUUAAUUGUAACAAAUGUACAGCAUGAAUGUAGGAAGUUAAUAAUAGGCAAAAGUGGGUGAGGGAUAUACAGGAAUUCUCUGUUCCGUCUUCACAAAUAUUCUGUAAAUCUAAAACUGC